GACGAACGCUGGCGGCGUGCCUAAUACAUGCAAGUAGAACGCACAGUUUAUACCGUAGCUUGCUACACCAUAGACUGUGAGUUGCGAACGGGUGAGUAACGCGUAGGUAACCUGCCUGGUAGCGGGGGAUAACUAUUGGAAACGAUAGCUAAUACCGCAUAAUAUUGAUUAUUGCAUGAUAAUUGAUUGAAAGAUGCUAUUGCAUCACUACCAGAUUGACCUGCGUUGUAUUAGCUAGUAGGUGAGGUAACGGCUCACCUAGGCGACGAUACAUAGCCGACCUGAGAGGGUGAUCGGCCACACUGGGACUGAGACACGGCCCAGACUCCUACGGGAGGCAGCAGUAGGGAAUCUUCGGCAAUGGACGAAAGUCUGACCGAGCAACGCCGCGUGAGUGAAGAAGGUUUUCGGAUCGUAAAGCUCUGUUGUAAGAGAAGAACGGGUGUGAGAGUGGAAAGUUCACACUGUGACGGUAUCUUACCAGAAAGGGACGGCUAACUACGUG
This 505-nucleotide ribosomal RNA is filed under the name uncultured bacterium. RNAcentral describes it as "partial 16S ribosomal RNA". It matches the Rfam family "Bacterial small subunit ribosomal RNA", at positions 28 to 507 of the family's 1533-position model. The record is from RNAcentral.